GGAGUAUUUCAGAUGACCGCUCUUUUUUUUAAAAAAGGGAGGAAAGUCCGGGCUCCGCAGGGCAGGACGCUGGGCAAUCCCCAGUUGGUGCGAACCAAAGGAAAGCGCCACAGAAAUAUACCGCCCCUUCAGGGGCAAGGGUGAAAAGGUGGGGUAAGAGCCCACCGGGUGAAAAGUAAUUUUCACGCCAGGCAAGCCCCGUCCGGAGCAAGACCGAAUAGGGGGGGAAGACGCUGCCCGCCGACCCCCGGGUACGGUCGCGAAAAGGCCGCCGCGAGGCUGCCUUCAGAUAAAUGGUCAUCCGAGACAGAACCCGGCUUAUGAAAUGCUCCCCCU
Molecule: RNase P RNA, 336 nt
Filed under: Synergistaceae bacterium
Lineage: Bacteria; Thermotogati; Synergistota; Synergistia; Synergistales; Synergistaceae
Description: RNase P RNA component class A
Rfam family: Bacterial RNase P class A
About the family: Ribonuclease P (RNase P) is a ubiquitous endoribonuclease, found in archaea, bacteria and eukarya as well as chloroplasts and mitochondria.
Source: RNAcentral